GCGGGUGUAGUUCAACGGCCAGAACCUCAGCCUUCCAAGCUGAUGAUGGGAGUUCGAUUCUCCUCACCCGCU
This 72-nucleotide transfer RNA is filed under the name Acidimicrobiaceae bacterium. Its description in RNAcentral is "tRNA-Gly". It matches the Rfam family "tRNA". From Rfam's summary of the family: Transfer RNA (tRNA) molecules are approximately 80 nucleotides in length. Their secondary structure includes four short double-helical elements and three loops (D, anti-codon, and T loops). The record is from RNAcentral. Lineage: Bacteria; Bacillati; Actinomycetota; Acidimicrobiia; Acidimicrobiales; Acidimicrobiaceae. RNAcentral also lists the same sequence under 2 other names.